CCACGAAAAAAAUGGUACUCUGUUGGAGC
RNAcentral lists this small RNA (29 nucleotides) under Bombyx mori (domestic silkworm). Its description in RNAcentral is "ovarian small RNA-13504". The record is from RNAcentral. Lineage: Eukaryota; Metazoa; Arthropoda; Insecta; Lepidoptera; Bombycidae.